CCUACGGGAGGCAGCAGUGAGGAAUAUUGGUCAAUGGGCGUAAGCCUGAACCAGCCAAGUCGCGUGAGGGAUGAAGGUUCUAUGGAUCGUAAACCUCUUUUAUAAGGGGAUAAAGUGUGGGACGUGUCCUAUUUUGUAUGUACCUUAUGAAUAAGGAUCGGCUAACUCCGUGCCAGCAGCCGCGGUAAUACGGAGGAUCCGAGCGUUAUCCGGAUUUAUUGGGUUUAAAGGGUGCGUAGGCGGCAUUGUAAGUCAGCGGUGAAAGUCUGUGGCUCAACCAUAGAAUUGCCGUUGAAACUGGGGGGCUUGAGUAUGUGUGAGGCAGGCGGAAUGCGAGGUGUAGCGGUGAAAUGCUUAGAUAUCACGCAGAACCCCGAUGGCGAAGGCAGCCAGCCAAGCCAUGACUGACGCUGAUGCACGAAAGCGUGGGGAUCAAACAGGAUUAGAUACCCGAGUAGUC
Molecule: ribosomal RNA, 460 nt
Filed under: uncultured bacterium
Lineage: Bacteria
Description: partial 16S ribosomal RNA
Rfam family: Bacterial small subunit ribosomal RNA
Source: RNAcentral